AGGAUGAACGCUGGCGGCGUGCUUAACACAUGCAAGUCGAACGAUGAAGGCUGGAGCUUGCUCUGGCUGGAUUAGUGGCGAACGGGUGAGUAACACGUGAGUAACCUGCCCCAGACUCUGGGAUAAGCGCUGGGAAACGGCGUCUAAUACCGGAUACGAGCUUCCACCGCAUGGUGAGGAGCUGGAAAGAAUUU
This 194-nucleotide ribosomal RNA is filed under the name uncultured soil bacterium. RNAcentral describes it as "partial 16S ribosomal RNA". It matches the Rfam family "Bacterial small subunit ribosomal RNA", at positions 26 to 212 of the family's 1533-position model. The record is from RNAcentral.